UUCUUUACUUUUUUGCACAGCAUUAGCGCACUUUUCAUUCCACCAUGGAAGAGGAGAAUAUCGAUAUUUAGGAUGGUUUCCUGCUGGCUUACUAUUAUUAUUUACAUUAUGGGAUUUAGUUCUAAACAUAGAUAGAUCUACCACUUUAUUUAAAAUGGUACAGAAGUCAUAGUACGACUGUAAAGGAUCAGAACAAUUAACAUUAAAUUCUUUAAUUAAAUUAUUGGCUAGCUUUGAGUAAUUUGCCCAAUUUAUUAGACGUAAGUUUGGUCUUUUUACUUCUUUUAUGUAAUCUUGAGAAGUAAAGUUGUUUAAAGAUGGAUCGCUAACUGUAUUAUAUAGAAUAUCUGUUAUUGUGGGAAGAUGAUAACUUCCCAGGGGAUCAUCAUGAACUGUCCAGUUACAAUUAAGAGCUAUAGAAGGACUAACUAUUGUCAAAUCUAAACCAUUUGGUCUCCAGAUAUUUGUUCCUACUGUGGUUGGUGAAGUGUCAUUUAAUAAAACUAAAUUGCAAUCAUUUAUAGAGUCCAGGACAUCUCUUCCACGAGCACUGACGGAUUGACAGCCCCAAAUGGUGUGAUGAGCAUUAAAAUCGCCUGAUACAAAACAUGGUUUAGAUGGAGCAGCGUUCCGAGUUCUUACAAAACUUUGCUAAAUGGCCAUACCUGAGACACCGGAAACAUUGCUUGACUGGAGGAACAUACGCUGUAAUAUCAUGCCGCCAACCGUCCAAGUCGACGUAGUCUGGAAGUACUGACGUCGCGAAGGUGAUGGCUACAGUCUGCAGGGGCUGUAGAAUAAAAUUGUUGUCAAUCUUUGUCCUCUUUGUAAAUCUCCUUACAGAUAUGAUCUUCUUGUAACUAGACAGCAUGGUGAAGAUUUUUUUGUUAGUCAGGUUGAUAGGCACAUUUUUAAUAAUACCAGUAAUUUCUGUGCUUUGUGCUGGAAUGUUAGCCUUAAAUUGAUAAUCCUUUAGAAACGUGGAAUUAUUCAGAAAGGCAUUUGCAAGGCUGGCCUUUUCAAAAUAAAUUGCAAUUUUAAAUUUGUUCAUCGAUCUUAAGUAUUUUACCCCUUUAUUGAAUCGUUUAAUGCAACUCGAUAUGGACAUAAGGUCUCUGGUUCCGAUGGGCAUCUCCGCAUUAGACGACUCUACGAAAACUACAAAUUCUGCAGCUCCGGAAUCCUCUGGGUAACGCCUCUUGUAAUCUGUAACUAAGUAAGGUUUUGAAAUAUCCAAAACUUCGACCUCUGAUUCGGAGGACGUCGUAUCGACGUCGGACUUUUCACCCUCAUCAUCCUUCUUCCUUUUUUUCUUGUUCUCACCUUCCCCAUUGCUAUUUUUUAAUUUAUUGUGUAUGUAACAAACUUUUUAUUGGUUUUAUUAGUAAUUUACGUAUUUGCAGUAGUUUUAAUUAAUAUUAUUAAUAAAUUUUUCGAAAAUCCC
Molecule: non-coding RNA, 1444 nt
Organism: Plutella xylostella (diamondback moth)
Lineage: Eukaryota; Metazoa; Arthropoda; Insecta; Lepidoptera; Plutellidae
Source: RefSeq, a predicted model, not a curated record